GACGGACGCUGGCGGCGUGCUUAACACAUGCAAGUCGAACGAAGAGCGAUGGAAGCUUGCUUCUAUCAAUCUUAGUGGCGAACGGGUGAGUAACGCGUAAUCAACCUGCCCUUCAGAGGGGGACAACAGUUGGAAACGACUGCUAAUACCGCAUACGAUCUAAUCUCGGCAUCGAGGAUAGAUGAAAGGUGGCCUCUACAUGUAAGCUAUCACUGAAGGAGGGGAUUGCGUCUGAUUAGCUAGUUGGAGGGGUAACGGCCCACCAAGGCGAUGAUCAGUAGCCGGUCUGAGAGGAUGAACGGCCACAUUGGGACUGAGACACGGCCCAGACUCCUACGGGAGGCAGCAGUGGGGAAUAUUCGC
RNAcentral lists this ribosomal RNA (363 nucleotides) under Veillonella parvula. RNAcentral describes it as "bacterial SSU rRNA". It matches the Rfam family "Bacterial small subunit ribosomal RNA", at positions 28 to 368 of the family's 1533-position model. The record is from RNAcentral. Lineage: Bacteria; Bacillati; Bacillota; Negativicutes; Veillonellales; Veillonellaceae.